Molecule: ribosomal RNA, 253 nt
Filed under: uncultured bacterium
Lineage: Bacteria
Description: partial 16S ribosomal RNA
Rfam family: Bacterial small subunit ribosomal RNA
Source: RNAcentral
UACGUAGGGUGCGAGCGUUGUCCGGAAUUACUGGGCGUAAAGAGCUCGUAGGUGGUUUGUCGCGUUGUUCGUGAAAACUCACAGCUUAACUGUGGGCGUGCGGGCGAUACGGGCAGACUGGAGUACUGCAGGGGAGACUGGAAUUCCUGGUGUAGCGGUGGAAUGCGCAGAUAUCAGGAAGAACACCGGUGGCGAAGGCGGAUCUCUGGGCCUUACCUGACGCUCAGGUGCGAAAGCUAGGGGAGCGAACAGG